This is a long non-coding RNA of Rattus rattus (black rat), 1978 nucleotides long. RefSeq lists it as uncharacterized. The transcript is spliced from 3 exons. The record is from RefSeq and is a predicted model, not a curated record. Lineage: Eukaryota; Metazoa; Chordata; Mammalia; Rodentia; Muridae.
CAUCAGCACAGCCUCGAAAGGGGGAUGGUAGAGCAGGGAGAAAGCAGAAAAACCAGCUUUGAACUCUGCGUGCAAGGCCUCCUGAGCCUCAGGCCCCAGAUGCUGCAGGUUCUACAGCUCAGCAGACACAGGUGGAGUGAGCUUGCAGGGCUGGGACAGACCUGCUGAGGAGGUGUACCUCGGUCCCGCAUCCUGUCUCUAACAAUCCUGGAAAGUGGAAGCCACCCACCGGAUGCUGUUCUCUGCGCUUGCACUUGUGGGCUCCUGGAGAGCAGCCUGUGCUCUGAUCACGAGGCGGGCCUCUUUAUUUUUUUUCAACAUAAAUGACGAGAUUGUCCUAAAAUUCAUCCAGAAAAAGAAUGGCAAGAAUGAGGACAAUUCUGAAGAGAGAGGCUAGAGCCACCGACCUGAGUCAACAGACUAAUGAAGAGUGUGAUAGGCAGACAUCACAGGAAGAACACAAUGCAGGAGCAGUGACCCCAAACCAACAAACGCCCUCAGACAAUGAAGAAUAAACCAGGUCAACGGGACGGAGAGAAUCACACAAACAGCUCUUAGAAGACAGCUAACUGAUAUGCAAAAAAGUCAGCUCAGCCCUUCCUCACACCAAAAUAUAUCUACUGUGAAUUAGACAAGCAUAAAACAAGUCAUGACUACUCCAACCCCACAGCUUUUAGAAGAGGUGUCAACCCUACAGCUAGACCAGGACACUUACAACCACCUAUGACUGACGGACAGCAGUUAAUUUGUAUGUUUCACAAGAAUCAAUUCUGGUGUUUGUUUUCCCAAAUAGAGUUUCUCUUUGUAGCCCUGGCUGUCCUGGAACUCACUCUGUAGACCAGGCUGGCCUGGUCUCGGAGAUCUGUCUGCCUCUGUCUCCUGAGUGCUGGGAUUAAAGGCGUGUUGCCACCGAAACCUUCUCACAAGAAUCAGAACUGAAAUAACCUCGAACUUUUUCACAUCCCCCCUCAACCAAAGAAAAUAUAAAUACAGAUUAAUAAAAUGUAUUAGAAAAACGUUAAGCCCUUAGGAUUUAAAUGAUCUAUUUCAUGUAAACAGAACUGGAGCAGUCGGUAAAUGCAUGGCAAACGGUUUUCAUCUAUUAGGGCAACAGUAAUUUUUUUUACAUAUUAUCUGUCGCAUUUAGUGGACACAUGUCAAGGGGCAAUAGUGAGGGUCAGAGGACGGCUUAGGAGUCAGUUCUCUCUUCCUGCUAUGUUGGUCCCAGGGAACAGAACCCAGGGGUGGCAGCCACUGUGCCAUCUUACCCAUCCGACUCCAGCGGCACAGAGAACAGUAAGUGCACUGUUGGGGCUCUGACAACAGAGCUGCGGACUUCGCUCGCUCACUGGCUGAGAAAAGGCUGCCACAGGCUCCAAGAGCUGCGUGGUGCUUCUGAGAACCCAUUCUAGAAAUGUAAUAACCAUGCACGAGACAGUUCAUUCUGGGCUGAACUAUGACCUGUAACACAAAACUCAUUAUUCCUACGUGUACCUGGGUGUGUGCACGAAUCGGAGGACCGCCUACAGGAACCAGACCUUUCCUUCUACCUGGUGGGUCUCCCCAGGACAGAACUCAGGUCAAUGGUCUCCGGAGCAAGUACCUCCGUCUAUUGAGCCACAGUGCCAGCACCGUCCUGACCAUUUUCACGUAUGUACUUCAGGGUUCUAGAUUCUUCCAGAUGUGUGCCCUGAUGUGUGCGGAGUAGUUCCACUCUAAACUCUGUCAAGCACCUCCACACAGCUUUACAGCCCUUGUACCACUGAUGUUCCUGCCAACAGCACACAGCGUCCAGUCCUCCACCGUCAGCAGCACUGGUUUGUGUGUGAUCUCAGGGUAAUUUUCAUUAGCAUCACUAACGACUAGUGAUGCUGAGCUGGUGUAUGGGGGCCUAUGGAUCGCUUGUGUAUAUUUUGAGAAAUGUCAACUUGAGUCUUCUAUAUAUUUAAACUAAGUUGUUUUGCUGUUGCUUCAUGUG